ACGAAGGUGGCGAGCGUUGUUCGGAAUCACUGGGCUUAAAGAGCACGUAGGCGGCUCAUCAAGUACUUUGUGAAAUCCCAUGGCUCAACCAUGGAAUUGCUUGGUAUACUGUUCGAGCUUGAGGCAGGUAUGGGCGUGUGGAACUCUUGGUGGAGCGGUGGAAUGCGUAGAUAUCAAGAGGAACGCCGGAGGCGAAAGCGAUGCGCUGGGCCUGUCCUGACGCUGAGGUGCGAAAGCCAGGGGAGCAAACGG
RNAcentral lists this ribosomal RNA (252 nucleotides) under uncultured prokaryote. RNAcentral describes it as "partial 16S rRNA". It matches the Rfam family "Bacterial small subunit ribosomal RNA", at positions 525 to 775 of the family's 1533-position model. The record is from RNAcentral.